RNAcentral lists this ribosomal RNA (1038 nucleotides) under Xenochalara juniperi. Its description in RNAcentral is "SSU rRNA". It matches the Rfam family "Eukaryotic small subunit ribosomal RNA", at positions 73 to 1119 of the family's 1831-position model. The record is from RNAcentral. Lineage: Eukaryota; Fungi; Ascomycota; Leotiomycetes; Helotiales; Dermateaceae.
UCUAUACCGUGAAACUGCGAAUGGCUCAUUAAAUCAGUUAUCGUUUAUUUGAUAGUACCUUACUACUUGGAUAACCGUGGUAAUUCUAGAGCUAAUACAUGCUAAAAACCCCGACUUCGGAAGGGGUGUAUUUAUUAGAUAAAAAACCAAUGCCCUUCGGGGCUCCUUGGUGAUUCAUAAUAACUUAACGAAUCGCAUGGCCUUGUGCCGGCGAUGGUUCAUUCAAAUUUCUGCCCUAUCAACUUUCGAUGGUAAGGUAUUGGCUUACCAUGGUUUCAACGGGUAACGGGGAAUUAGGGUUCUAUUCCGGAGAGGGAGCCUGAGAAACGGCUACCACAUCCAAGGAAGGCAGCAGGCGCGCAAAUUACCCAAUCCCGACACGGGGAGGUAGUGACAAUAAAUACUGAUACAGGGCUCUUUUGGGUCUUGUAAUUGGAAUGAGUACAAUUUAAAUCCCUUAACGAGGAACAAUUGGAGGGCAAGUCUGGUGCCAGCAGCCGCGGUAAUUCCAGCUCCAAUAGCGUAUAUUAAAGUUGUUGCAGUUAAAAAGCUCGUAGUUGAACCUUGGGCCUGGCUGGCCGGUCCGCCUCACCGCGUGCACUGGUCCGGCCGGGCCUUUCCUUCUGGGGAGCCGCAUGCCAUUCAUUUGGUGUGUCGGGGAUCCAGGACUUUUACUUUGAAAAAAUUAGAGUGUUCAAAGCAGGCCUAUGCUCGAAUACAUUAGCAUGGAAUAAUAGAAUAGGACGUGUGGUUCUAUUUUGUUGGUUUCUAGGACCGCCGUAAUGAUUAAUAGGGAUAGUCGGGGGCAUCAGUAUUCAAUUGUCAGAGGUGAAAUUCUUGGAUUUAUUGAAGACUAACUACUGCGAAAGCAUUUGCCAAGGAUGUUUUCAUUAAUCAGUGAACGAAAGUUAGGGGAUCGAAGACGAUCAGAUACCGUCGUAGUCUUAACCAUAAACUAUGCCGACUAGGGAUCGGGCGAUGUUAUCUUUUUGACUCGCUCGGCACCUUACGAGAAAUCAAAGUCUUUGGGUUCUGGGG